CGAAUCUAAAGCAAUCAAGCAUUCAAGUUAUUUCCCA
This is a non-coding RNA of Papio anubis (olive baboon), 37 nucleotides long. Lineage: Eukaryota; Metazoa; Chordata; Mammalia; Primates; Cercopithecidae. The record is from Rfam.